This 240-nucleotide unclassified non-coding RNA is filed under the name soil metagenome. RNAcentral's name for it is "partial contains 5.8S ribosomal RNA, internal transcribed spacer 2, and large subunit ribosomal RNA". The record is from RNAcentral.
AACAUCGCGCACCUGCGGGAACCUGCGGAGGGAUCAUUAAAAGGAUCGACGUAUAUGGACGAUCAAAAAAAUCCAUAUCCACCUUGUGUGCACUCACUGACCGUUCGCUUUGGCAGGAGGGAGUCUUGGAUGAUUUUUAUUUUCCAAGCGGGGGGAGGAAGGGAAAAGACAACAUUCUCUUUCUCCCUCGGCCUGCCAGAGUUUUUAAAAUCAACCCUUUAUUCUUCUUUUUGGACUGAA